AUGUGUAUAUUUGUGGGUUUACAUGUGUAUAUGGUGUGUAUGUGGUUUUAUACACACACACACACACACACACACACACACACACACACACACA
Molecule: microRNA precursor, 94 nt
Filed under: Loxodonta africana (African savanna elephant)
Lineage: Eukaryota; Metazoa; Chordata; Mammalia; Proboscidea; Elephantidae
Description: miRNA (ENSLAFG00000023437.1)
Source: RNAcentral